AGAAAGCGAGAUCCGAGGAGUCCAGCUGCCCCCCUGACGCCGUUUUGAUUGGAUGGUCUUUUCAUGUAGAGGGGACGUCUCAAGUCGAAGUCACGAUUUCUGCUCAGUUUGGAACCAUCUGUGACUGGAGCCAUGACGCAGCCAGCGCACAUUACUCACUUUUACAGUCACGACUUGGAAAUCCGUGCAGUUUCCAACCAAAAUUACACCGCCACCAUUGAAUUAUUUAAUAGGAUCCAGUUAAGGGAUCCGCAACUGUCGCUGGGCUUGGAGUGGUAUAGAAAUAAGUCUGCGGCUAAAAGACCCCCCACCCCCACCCCCAUCUGGUCGGGAAUUAAUUUCCUCUUCCUUCUCAUGUUAAGGAGAAUGGGUUGAUGCAUGGUCUUUAUGAAGUGGGCUUUAAAAACAACCAACCAACCACCAAAACACAACCACCACCAUGCACCAGUUUAACAUUAUGCACCAACGUGGGGUUCUGGCAGGGAAGCUUGUUUUGCCGAGAGAGACAGAGCGAUGGUUGCAUACACUGGAUGCACAAAGAAAGGGUUUUCUUUAAUUCUCUCCACCCCACUCAAUGCUUUUUUUUAAAAAAAACACAAAUUCCUUUGUUUGGAGAAUAAAGAAGCUU
This is a long non-coding RNA of Chelonia mydas (Green sea turtle), 628 nucleotides long. RefSeq lists it as uncharacterized. NCBI's taxonomy places the organism in Eukaryota, Metazoa, Chordata, Testudines, Cheloniidae. The transcript has 4 exons. The record is from RefSeq and is a predicted model, not a curated record.